UCCCUGGUGGCUCAGACAGUAAAGCGCCUGCCUACAAUGCGGGAGACCUGGGUUCGAUUCCUGGGUUGGGGA
Molecule: transfer RNA, 72 nt
Filed under: Bos taurus (domestic cattle)
Lineage: Eukaryota; Metazoa; Chordata; Mammalia; Artiodactyla; Bovidae
Also listed under: 1 other name
Rfam family: tRNA
About the family: Transfer RNA (tRNA) molecules are approximately 80 nucleotides in length. Their secondary structure includes four short double-helical elements and three loops (D, anti-codon, and T loops). Further hydrogen bonds mediate the characteristic L-shaped molecular structure. tRNAs have two regions of fundamental functional importance: the anti-codon, which is responsible for specific mRNA codon recognition, and the 3' end, to which the tRNAs corresponding amino acid is attached (by aminoacyl-tRNA synthetases). tRNAs cope with the degeneracy of the genetic code in two manners: having more than one tRNA (with a specific anti-codon) for a particular amino acid; and 'wobble' base-pairing, i.e. permitting non-standard base-pairing at the 3rd anti-codon position.
Source: Rfam by way of RNAcentral